Molecule: ribosomal RNA, 460 nt
Filed under: uncultured bacterium
Lineage: Bacteria
Description: partial 16S ribosomal RNA
Rfam family: Bacterial small subunit ribosomal RNA
Source: RNAcentral
CCUACGGGCGGCAGCAGUGAGGAAUAUUGGUCAAUGGACGCAAGUCUGAACCAGCCAUGCCGCGUGCAGGAAGACGGCUCUAUGAGUUGUAAACUGCUUUUGUACGAGGGUAAACGCAGAUACGUGUAUCUGUCUGAAAGUAUCGUACGAAUAAGGAUCGGCUAACUCCGUGCCAGCAGCCCCGGUAAUACGGAGGAUUCCAGCGUUAUCCGGAUUGAUUGGGUUUAAAGGGGGCGUAGGCGGUCGGAUAAGUUAGAGGUGAAAUCCCGAGGCUCAACUUCGGAAUGGCCUCUGAUACUGUUCGGCUAGAGAGUAGUUGCGGUAGGCGGAAUGUAUGGUGUAGCGGUGAAAUGCUUAGAGAUCAUACAGAACACCGAUUGCGAAGGCAGCUUACCAAGCUACUUCUGACGUUGAGGCACGAAAGCGUGGGGAACAAACAGGAUUAGAUACCCGAGUAGUC